CUUUUUGCACCUAGUGUCGACAGUCGGGUGAACGCCCCUCCUUUGGGCCAGAUGGCCUUUUAUGUUGAAGACCUUAGGACGGGUCUUCGAUUUUCUAUUCCGAAGUUCAUCUGAAAUAUUUUGGACUACUAUGGCUUUUGUCCUGCCCAGCUGGCACCAAAUUCAAUCUGGCUAAUGAUCAGCUUUACUUUGUUGUGUCGAUUACUACU
RNAcentral lists this long non-coding RNA (209 nucleotides) under Elaeis guineensis (African oil palm). RNAcentral describes it as "long non-coding RNA (EGUI_LNC003489)". The record is from RNAcentral. Lineage: Eukaryota; Viridiplantae; Streptophyta; Magnoliopsida; Arecales; Arecaceae.